This 246-nucleotide unclassified non-coding RNA is filed under the name Hevea brasiliensis (rubber tree). The record is from RNAcentral. Lineage: Eukaryota; Viridiplantae; Streptophyta; Magnoliopsida; Malpighiales; Euphorbiaceae.
GUAAAUAUUUCGUCACACCUCACGAGAAUAGAAGAUAUUAAGAAGAAAUUGAAAAGAAUUAGGGAAGAGAUAGAAGAAUAGAGUCACAUUAGAGAGAAUAAAGAGAGGAAAGGAAGGAAAAGAAGAGAGGAAGAUAAGAAUAAAAAGAAACCUGGUAUUCGGGAGACUAUCAUUGAUCUGCCAUUGAUGAAGCAUUCCAGUUGUUGUCUAGUGAUCAAAGGGCUCUGAUUCCAAUUUGUUACAGAA